Molecule: non-coding RNA, 77 nt
Organism: Podarcis lilfordi (Lilford's wall lizard)
Lineage: Eukaryota; Metazoa; Chordata; Lepidosauria; Squamata; Lacertidae
Source: the annotation of a GenBank genome assembly
GCAAAAGCUCAGUUGGUUAGAGCAUGGUGCUGAUAAUGCCAAGGUUGCAGGUUCAAUCCCCGCAUGGGACUGCGGCA